AUUGAACGCUGGCGGCAUGCUUUACACAUGCAAGUCGAACGGUAACAGGCCUUCGGGUGCUGACGAGUGGCGAACGGGUGAGUAAUGCAUCGGAACGUACCCAGAGGCGGGGGAUAACGCAGCGAAAGCUGUGCUAAUACCGCCUGUGCACUGAGGAUGAAAGCGGGGGACCGCGCACCAUUGUUUGGCCUCGCGCCUUUGUAGCGGCCGAUGUCGGCUUAGCUAGAUGGGGGGGGAAAGGCCUACAAAGGCGACGAUCCGUAUCUGGUCUGAGAGGACGGACAGCCAGACUGUGUGUGAGGCACGGCCCAGACUCCUACGGGAGGCAGCGGUGGGGAAUUUUGCACGAUGGGCGCGAGCCGGAUCCAGCAAUGUCGCGGGCGGGAAGAAGGCCUUCUGGUUGUAAACCGCUUUUGGCAGGAACGAAACGGUGUCCGCUAAUACCGGGCGCUAAUGACGGUACCUGCAGAAUAAGCACCGGCUAACUCCGUG
RNAcentral lists this ribosomal RNA (492 nucleotides) under uncultured bacterium. RNAcentral describes it as "partial 16S ribosomal RNA". It matches the Rfam family "Bacterial small subunit ribosomal RNA", at positions 28 to 507 of the family's 1533-position model. The record is from RNAcentral.